AGUCGAGCGGCAGCGCGGGGGCAACCCUGGCGGCGAGCGGCGAACGGGUGAGUAACAUAUCGGAACGUACCCUGUCGUGGGGGAUAACACAGCGAAAGCUGUGCUAAUACCGCAUACGACCUGAGGGUGAAAGCGGGGGACCGUAAGGCCUCGCGCGAUAGGAGCGGCCGAUAUCGGAUUAGCUUGUUGGUGAGGUAAAGGCUCACCAAGGCGACGAUCCGUAGCGGGUCUGAGAGGACGACCCGCCACACUGGAACUGAGACACGGUCCAGACUCCUACGGGAGGCAGCAGUGGGGAAUUUUGGACAAUGGGGGCAACCCUGAUCCAGCCAUUCCGCGUGAGUGAAGAAGGCCUUCGGGUUGUAAAGCUCUUUCAGCAGGAACGAAACGGUGGUCCUUAAUACGGGCUACUAAUGACGGUACCUGAAGAAGAAGCACCGGCUAACUACGUGCCAGCAGCCGCGGUAAUACGUAGGGUGCGAGCGUUAAUCGGAAUUACUGGGCGUAAAGCGUGCGCAGGCGGUUAUAUAAGACAGAUGUGAAAUCCCCGGGCUCAACCUGGGAACUGCGUUUGUGACUGUAUAACUUGAGUGUGGCAGAGGGGGGUGGAAUUCCACGUGUAGCAGUGAAAUGCGUAGAGAUGUGGAGGAACACCGAUGGCGAAGGCAGCCCCCUGGGUCAACACUGACGCUCAUGCACGAAAGCGUGGGGAGCAAACAGGAUUAGAUACCCUGGUAGUCCACGCCCUAAACGAUGCGAACUAGUGUUGGGGAAGGAGACUUUCUUAGUACCGCAGCUAACGCGUGAAGUUCGCCGCCUUGGGAGUACGGUCGCAAGA
RNAcentral lists this ribosomal RNA (838 nucleotides) under uncultured organism. RNAcentral's name for it is "bacterial SSU rRNA". It matches the Rfam family "Bacterial small subunit ribosomal RNA", at positions 60 to 893 of the family's 1533-position model. The record is from RNAcentral.